UGGAAUGCCUUGCUGGCGCUGGUAAAAUGGAACCAAAUCAACAUUUCAACGGCUUUGGUCCCCUUCAACCAGCUCUAGAUAAGCAUUAUG
Molecule: microRNA precursor, 90 nt
Filed under: Petromyzon marinus (sea lamprey)
Lineage: Eukaryota; Metazoa; Chordata; Hyperoartia; Petromyzontiformes; Petromyzontidae
Description: microRNA pma-mir-133b precursor
Gene: pma-mir-133b
Rfam family: mir-133 microRNA precursor family (bases 10-81)
About the family: mir-133 was first experimentally characterised in mouse and homologues have since been discovered in several other species. The mature sequence is excised from the 3' arm of the hairpin.
Source: miRBase by way of RNAcentral